AACGAACGCUGGCGGCAUGCCUAACACAUGCAAGUCGAACGAGACCUUCGGGUCUAGUGGCGCUCGGGUGCGUAACGCGUGGGAACCUGCCCUUAGGUUCGGAAUAACUCCCCGAAAGGGGUGCUAAUACCGGAUAAUGUCUUCGGACCAAAGAUUUAUCGCCUUUGGAUGGGCCCGCGUUGGAUUAGCUAGUUGGUAGGGUAAAAGCCUACCAAGGCGACGAUCCAUAGCUGGUCUGAGAGGAUGAUCAGCCACACUGGGACUGAGACACGGCCCAGACUCCUACGGGAGGCAGCAGUGGGGAAUAUUGGACAAUGGGCGAAAGCCUGAUCCAGCAAUGCCGCGUGAGUGAUGAAGGCCUUAGGGUUGUAAAGCUCUUUUACCCGGGAUGAUAAUGACAGUACCGGGAGAAUGAGCUCCGGCUAACUCCGU
RNAcentral lists this ribosomal RNA (432 nucleotides) under uncultured bacterium. RNAcentral's name for it is "partial 16S ribosomal RNA". It matches the Rfam family "Bacterial small subunit ribosomal RNA", at positions 29 to 506 of the family's 1533-position model. The record is from RNAcentral.